GCGGAUCCGCCCUCAGGUCGCUAGAUCCGCCCUCAGGUCGCCAGGUCGCUAGAUCCGCCCGCAGGUCGCUAGAUCCGCCCUACUGCCGCACUCGGUUUGGUCAUGUGAACCGGAUCCACCCGCAUCUGCAUCCGGUUCACACAGCGGCGGUUGUUCUAAAUCGUUGCUCCUCUGACUUCUGCGGCUCGACUUUCCAAACUGGAAUUUUCAAACCUGCAGCUCUUCGCGCCAGACAUAUUACUUAGUUUUACAGAAGUGUUCAUCAGGAUCGAUCUCUACAAUUCAGGAUGUUCCAUCUGAUUGAAUUCUUGGACAGCAAAACAGUAGCAGUCGUGCCACAAAGCUGGUACAGUGGUGGUGGCUGCGUUGCCAGAUUACCCGAGGGAUGAAAGGGUGGACAAGGCGGUCCGAAGUGCCGAAGAACCUCAACCUGACUGGCAGACACAUUAUGUCAGAAUAAUUAGAUCAUGCGAUGAUUACUUGGUGGCAAGGCGAUGGUUAACAAAAUAUAUGUCCUGUGACAUCUGAUCUCCAUUCAGAAGAGGAGGCAAUUCCUAAAAGGAGAAAGCCAAUGCCUGUCCAUUUCUUUGGGGACUCGGAUGCAGACAGCGAGACUGAAAAUCGCCACCCCAAAAAAAAAAAAGGGUCCAACCACUAGCAGGACAGUUGCCCCUCCUCCAACUAUUGCCCCUCCUCCACCACGGACUUCAUCACCAGCAGGACAGCGAACAAGCCAUGCAGGGUACACACCAACCUGGCGAGGGGCGAGGUGUGGUUCAGACACCAUUGCCUGCUGUGCUGCUCAAGUUCAAAUGAUGGCCAUGCUGGAGACGCUUACACAGCAGGUCCAUCAAUUAACACAGCAGGUCCAUCAAUUAACUUCCAAAAUUGACAGCUUUGUUCCCAGCGUGACACAAAUGUCUGGUCAAGAAGUGGAGUGGAGAGUCUCGUUGCCGUUGACCACAAUGGAGGAAGUGGACAUGUUUGAGCAACAGCUCAAAGAUCCAGCCAACGCUUUAAUGAAGAAGAGUGUGACUUCAUCACCAGCAGGACAGCGAACAAGCCAUGCAGGGUACACACCAACCUGGCGAGGGGCGAGGUGUGAGGUGUGGUUCAGACACCAUUGCCUGCUGUGCUGCUCAAGUUCAAAUGAUGGCCAUGCUGGAGACGCUUACACAGCAGGUCCAUCAAUUAACACAGCAGGUCCAUCAAUUAACUUCCAAAAUUGACAGCUUUGUUCGCCCCAGCGUGACACAAAUGUCUGGUCAAGAAGUGGAGUGGAGAGACCCGUUUCCGUUGACCACAAUGGAGGAAGUGGACAUGUUUGAGCAACAGCUCAAAGAUCCAGCCAACGCUUUAAUGAAGAAGAGUGUGACUUCAUCACCAGCAGGACAGCGAACAAGCCAUGCAGGGUACACACCAACCUGGCGAGGGGCGAGGUGUGAGGUGUGGUUCAGACACCAUUGCCUGCUGUGCUCAAAGAUCCAGCCAACGCUAUAAUGAAGGAGAGUGAUUUCCUCCCUGGGAACAAUCGGAGGACAUGAUGUAAAACGUGCAACAUGGAACAUCCUCGCACGCAUGUUCACUGAUGAUGUUGGCAAGUCCAUAAAUUGGAAAGGGAUUCAUGGAAAAAAAUCUUUCAAUCUAAUGACGUCCAAGACUUUGCUCCUGCGUGAAUGUUACUCAACUAUACCUUUACAUAAUAGUUAUAUGAUAUAUUAGCUCUAUGGAGUGGAGAUGGUCAGCUGCUUCAGGUUCCUCGGGGUCAACAUCAGCAACGACCUCACCUGGUCUGCUCACACAGACAAGGUGGUCAAAGCGGCCCAGAAGCGCCUCUUCUUCCUGAGGAGACUGAAGAAGUUUGGCAUGGAUUCAGUCAUCCUCACCAAUUUCUACAGAUGCACAAUAGAAAGCAUCCUGACUGGGUGCAUCACAGUGUGGGAGCUGCACAGCCAAGGACCGCAAGGCCCUACGCAGUGUGGUCAGGACUGCGGAGUUCAUCAUCGAUGCUGUCAGAAAGAAUCACUCAACACAUGCGUCCACUGACGACCAGGUUCUUAAGCACGCCAUUCGGUGGUUCAACCUGGCAGCAGACCGGGGUAGCUCCAGGAGGCGUGCUACUGUAGACGUCCCCCACACUGAACAGACUUAAAAUAUAUCUUUUUUAAAUGUGUGUGUAUAUAAAUUUGUCCUUUCAAAUAAAAAACUGUUUGACAUUA
This is a long non-coding RNA of Pseudoliparis swirei, 2219 nucleotides long. RefSeq lists it as uncharacterized. NCBI's taxonomy places the organism in Eukaryota, Metazoa, Chordata, Actinopteri, Perciformes, Liparidae. The record is from RefSeq and is a predicted model, not a curated record. The transcript is spliced from 13 exons.